GCGCCCGUAGCGCAGCCUGGAAGCGCGAUAGCCUCCUAAGCUAUAGGUCCGGGGUUCGAAUCCCCGCGGGCGCG
This 74-nucleotide transfer RNA is filed under the name Candidatus Woesearchaeota archaeon. Its description in RNAcentral is "tRNA-Arg". It matches the Rfam family "tRNA". From Rfam's summary of the family: Transfer RNA (tRNA) molecules are approximately 80 nucleotides in length. Their secondary structure includes four short double-helical elements and three loops (D, anti-codon, and T loops). Lineage: Archaea; Nanobdellati; Candidatus Woesearchaeota. The record is from RNAcentral.